UACGUAGGGGGCAAGCGUUGUCCGGAUUUAUUGGGCGUAAAGGGCGCGUAGGCGGCUGUACAAGUCAAAGGUGAAAUCCCUCGGCUCAACUGAGGAACUGCCUUUGAAACUGUACGGCUUGAGGCCGGGAGGGGGUAGCGGAAUUCCCAGUGUAGCGGUGAAAUGCGUAGAUACUGGGAGGAACACCAGUGGCGAAGGCGGCUACCUGGACCGGUUCUGACGCUGAGGCGCGAAAGCGUGGGUAGCAAACAGG
This 253-nucleotide ribosomal RNA is filed under the name uncultured bacterium. Its description in RNAcentral is "partial 16S ribosomal RNA". It matches the Rfam family "Bacterial small subunit ribosomal RNA", at positions 524 to 776 of the family's 1533-position model. The record is from RNAcentral.